UGAGGGAAUAUUGGGUCAAUGGGCGCGAGCCUGAACCAGCCAAGUAGCGUGCAGGAUGACGGCCCUAUGGGUUGUAAACUGCUUUUAUGCGGGGAUAAAGUGAGGGACGCGUCCCUUUUUGCAGGUACCGCAUGAAUAAGGACCGGCUAAUUCCGUGCCAGCAGCCGCGGUAAUACGGAAGGUCCGGGCGUUAUCCGGAUUUAUUGGGUUUAAAGGGAGCGCAGGCCGUGGGUUAAGCGUGUCGUGAAAUUCCGUCGCUCAACGGCGGACGUGCGGCGCGAACUGGUCCACUUGAGUACGCGGGACGUUGGCGGAAUUCGUGGUGUAGCGGUGAAAUGCUUAGAUAUCACGAAGAACUCCGAUUGCGAAGGCAGCUGACGGUAGCGCAACUGACGCUGAGGCUCGAAAGCCAGGGGAGCAAACGGGAUUAGAUACCCUGGUAGU
Molecule: ribosomal RNA, 444 nt
Filed under: uncultured Prevotella sp.
Lineage: Bacteria; Pseudomonadati; Bacteroidota; Bacteroidia; Bacteroidales; Prevotellaceae
Description: bacterial SSU rRNA
Rfam family: Bacterial small subunit ribosomal RNA
Source: RNAcentral